Molecule: ribosomal RNA, 253 nt
Filed under: uncultured bacterium
Lineage: Bacteria
Description: partial 16S ribosomal RNA
Rfam family: Bacterial small subunit ribosomal RNA
Source: RNAcentral
UACGUAGGGUGCGAGCGUUAAUCGGAAUUACUGGGCGUAAAGCGUGCGCAGGCGGUUUUGUAAGCCAGAUGUGAAAUCCCCGGGCUUAACCUGGGAAUGGCAUUUGGGACUGCAAGGCUUGAGUGCGGCAGAGGAGACUGGAAUUCCUGGUGUAGCAGUGAAAUGCGUAGAUAUCAGGAGGAACACCGAUGGCGAAGGCAGCUCACUGGGACGGUACUGACGCUGAGACGCGAAAGCGUGGGGAGCAAACAGG